Molecule: long non-coding RNA, 929 nt
Organism: Salvia splendens (bonfire salvia)
Lineage: Eukaryota; Viridiplantae; Streptophyta; Magnoliopsida; Lamiales; Lamiaceae
Exons: 3
Source: RefSeq, a predicted model, not a curated record
CAUCCCGAAUUAUAGGCACCAAUAAAAGGUUUGGAUAUGUGGUGAGGAAUAGUAGUUAAGUUAAACCGUAAGGUAUAAAUUUGAUACGAAAUGCCGAUUAGUCAAUUUUCGGCAAUUUCUUUUGUCCGUGUAAAAUCAUAAAUCGAAGCUAAGGGGUAAUAAUUUUAUAAAUUACAAAUUAUGGCCUAGAAUAAUUGUUGAUAAUGUGAGGAAUUGUUUUGGGCCAUUUGAAGGUAAUUAAAAAAAUUUCUAUCGCCGAUAAUUUCAGUUUUUAACGAAAACGAUCGGCGAAACUUUUGAAGAUAUAGACAGGAAUAAUUUUGCCUUAAACUAGAAUUUAAAUGCUAAAUGAUGAUAUAAAGAGUUCCUAAAUGUGAUAUCAUAUGAUAGGGCAAUAAAAUGUUACAAGAUAAUUAAUUUAUUUAAAAACUAACUAAAUAAUUAAAUAAUGAUUAGAAUUCUCUAGAGAAUUCUUUUGUCUAUCAUCAACUCCAAACCCCCCCCUCAUUUCAGCCACAAGCACGUCCUCCCCCUCUCCAUGGAAGACCAAAAGCUUAAGCUUUUUAAUUUCCAAAUAUUUGUCAUUUAAUCGGUAAAUCGAUCGGGUAAUCUUGUAUCCGCCAGCAAAUCGAGCGAAGGAGCAUAUAGUGCGUUUUGAUCACAAAGGAGUGGAUUUAGAGGGUAGAGAAGUAUCAAGGUGAAAUAGGCUUAUGUUCAUAAGCCUGCGAGGUUAGAGUCGACAUUAUGUCAGUGGUGUUGCGCAGCUUUGCAUCUUUGGCGAGUCACUGGUGGUCAACUUGGUUUAGUAGUCGUGGCAUGUUAUGUAAUAGUUUAAUCUUUAACCUUCCGCUGGAUAAAUGUUAAGUUUUUAAAUGUAAUAGAUUUUAAUUAUGCUUUUAAGCUAAAAAGAAAAAGGAAAAAUUUCAGCA